GACGAACGCUGGCGGCGUGCUUAACACAUGCAAGUCGAACGAAGAGCGAUGGAAGCUUGCUUCUAUCAAUCUUAGUGGCGAACGGGUGAGUAACGCGUAAUCAACCUGCCCUUCAGAGGGGGACAACAGUUGGAAACGACUGCUAAUACCGCAUACGAUCCAAUCUCGGCAUCGGGACUGGAUGAAAGGUGGCCUCUAUUUAUAAGCUAUCACUGAAGGAGGGGAUUGCGUCUGAUUAGCUAGUUGGAGGGGUAACGGCCCACCAAGGCGAUGAUCAGUAGCCGGUCUGAGAGGAUGAACGGCCACAUUGGGACUGAGACACGGCCCAGACUCCUACGGGAGGCAGCAGGGGGGAAUCUUCCGCAAUGGACGAAAGUCUGACGGAGCAACGCCGCGUGAGUGAUGACGGCCUUCGGGUUGUAAAGCUCUGUUAAUCGGGACGAAUGGUUCUUGUGCGAAUAGGGCGAGGAUUUGACGGUACCGGAAUAGAAAGCCACGGCUAACUACGUG
This 510-nucleotide ribosomal RNA is filed under the name uncultured bacterium. Its description in RNAcentral is "partial 16S ribosomal RNA". It matches the Rfam family "Bacterial small subunit ribosomal RNA", at positions 28 to 507 of the family's 1533-position model. The record is from RNAcentral.